Molecule: unclassified non-coding RNA, 344 nt
Organism: Erinaceus europaeus (western European hedgehog)
Lineage: Eukaryota; Metazoa; Chordata; Mammalia; Eulipotyphla; Erinaceidae
Gene: 7SK
Rfam family: 7SK RNA
About the family: 7SK was discovered as an abundant small nuclear RNA in the mid-70s but a possible function has only recently been suggested. Two independent studies have found that 7SK RNA binds the CDK9/cyclin T complex (known as elongation factor P-TEFb). P-TEFb activates transcription by phosphorylating the C-terminal domain of RNA polymerase II.
Source: Ensembl
AGAUGUGAGGUCAUCUGGCUGCGACAUCUGCCACCCCAGUGACCGCCAGGGUGGAUUCGGCUGAUCUGGCCGGCUAGGCGGGUGUCCCCUUCCUCCCUCACCGCCCCAUGUGCGUCCCUCCCGCAGCUGUGCGCUCGGUCGAAGAGGACAGCCUUCCCCGAAUAGAGACGGACGAACGGACGGGUCUUCGGUCGAGGGUACAUGAGUAGCUGCGCUCCUCUCCCCCUGCUAGAACCUCCAAACAAGCUCUCAGAGAGCAGCUCUAAAGCUGCUUGCUUUGAGGUUUGCCUUUGUGCGCCGUAAUUUUGCCGUAUGACUUUGACAGAGUACUGAGGGGUUUCUAC